Molecule: ribosomal RNA, 310 nt
Filed under: uncultured bacterium
Lineage: Bacteria
Description: partial 16S ribosomal RNA
Rfam family: Bacterial small subunit ribosomal RNA
Source: RNAcentral
AAGAGACAGCAGUCGCCGCGGUAAUACGGAGGAUCCAAGCGUUAUCCGGAAUCAUUGGGUUUAAAGGGUCCGUAGGCGGUCUUGUAAGUCAGUGGUGAAAGCCCAUCGCUCAACGUUGGAACGGCCAUUGAUACUGCAGGACUUGAAUUAUUGGGAAGUAACUAGAAUAUGUAGUGUAGCGGUGAAAUGCUUAGAGAUUACAUGGAAUACCAAUUGCGAAGGCAGGUUACUACCAAUUGAUUGACGCUGAUGGACGAAAGCGUGGGUAGCGAACAGGAUUAGAUACCCCAGUAGUCCCUGUCUCUUAUAA